RNAcentral lists this small RNA (28 nucleotides) under Bombyx mori (domestic silkworm). RNAcentral describes it as "ovarian small RNA-5056". The record is from RNAcentral. Lineage: Eukaryota; Metazoa; Arthropoda; Insecta; Lepidoptera; Bombycidae.
GACCACGGGUUGCAUGAGGGACUGACAC